Molecule: non-coding RNA, 574 nt
Organism: Misgurnus anguillicaudatus (oriental weatherfish)
Lineage: Eukaryota; Metazoa; Chordata; Actinopteri; Cypriniformes; Cobitidae
Source: RefSeq, a predicted model, not a curated record
UUUAAAAUUAAUAAUAAUCCCUCGCUAUAACCCGGCGUUUUAACCUCACCGUCGGAGAGAGGGACUGCGGUUACGGCCACUGAGUGACUGAAGACCGAGCUGCAGCAUUUUUAGCGUGACAUCGGCGAAAACACGAUGAAAACGCGUCGAAAUGGGGAAAAGCUGUUGUGCGAUAGACUGUACUAACAGAUUAACAAGAAUUCGGAGUUAUCGUUUUAGAGACUGCCAAAAUCACCGAAAGGAGAAGUAAAUAGAUCGUUCAUUCCAACGUCCACAGAGAACAGGAGAAGAUGGAUCCAUUGCUGCCCAAGCUAAGCUUUUUUGACACAAUUGUGCCAAAAAAUAGGCAACAAUGCCUUCUCAGGGGAACAAAGGAGGCCAAUCGAAACACAUGCUUCAAAAAGACAACAGUCGAGGACCAAAAGGCGGCUUGUGAGGAAGCUAAAAAGAGAUGUCGGCACUUCACCUUGACUCCAUCAGAGGAGCAGUAUCUCGGCCAGCUUCAUUUGACCUUUGGAAAAUACAAUGGCCAAAGCUUUAAAUGGCUGGUCAAAAAUGAUGAUGAUGUUGGCUA